This 150-nucleotide unclassified non-coding RNA is filed under the name soil metagenome. RNAcentral's name for it is "partial internal transcribed spacer 1". The record is from RNAcentral.
CCGAGUUAUACAACUCAUCAACCCUGUGAACAUACCUAUAACGUUGCCUCGGCGGGAACAGACGGCCCCGUAACACGGGCCGCCCCCGCCGGAGGACCCCCUAACUCUGUUUCUAUAAUGUUUCUUCUGAGUAAACAAGCAAAUAAAUUA